Long non-coding RNA from Aquila chrysaetos chrysaetos, 921 nucleotides. RefSeq lists it as uncharacterized. The record is from RefSeq and is a predicted model, not a curated record. The transcript has 2 exons. NCBI's taxonomy places the organism in Eukaryota, Metazoa, Chordata, Aves, Accipitriformes, Accipitridae.
GUACAAAAUUCCUACCUAGGCUUUGGGCAGAAGGUAGCGAGCGACUCCAGUGUCUGCUGGCUAUGGUGUUCACCUGGAGGCGAGGCGGCAUCUCCUCCUUUUGUUCGGGGCGAUGACGGACCCAACGGCCACUCGAACACCAUGAUACAACAGUGCCAUCUUGCUUGCUUGUUUUCAAGUCGGUAUUAGCCAGAUUCAGCUGCAGCUUAACAAGACAACACAAUAACAAACCUCAAAUGAAGCCCAGAGAACUUUUACUCACUGACCAGCCAUGCCAAAUCACCAGCGUAGCAAGUUACGGAUCCACCUAAAACUCACAAACACAUAACCACGUCUUACCCAAACCGUGGGUAAUUGAUUCACCUGUGACACUUAGAGUUUUACUUCAUUUUUUCAAAUUACCCCAACAUGAAGUAAUGACACAGGCAACCAAAUCUAUGACUAUAACUAUCAAGAGAUCAACAGCAGAAAUAAAAGCUAUUAUCACCCAGUCCUACUAAAAGUUGCUGAGAUCUUUUCUAGUCUUCAUCAGAAGGAACCCUGUGAGCAGCAGCACCGUGCAUCUGAAAAUAAAACCACCCAUGUCCUCUAGUUGCGUUUGGCAUUUCUAUUUCAAAAGCAAAAAUACACAUUGCAUUUUGAAAUAGUUUGGAAUGGCACACGUUAAAAAUUCACAGCUAAAUCCGUUAAUAUUUAGCGACAAAUUAAUGCUUUAUAAGAAACCUUUUCAUGCAGCGUUGUCUUCGAAUUAAAAACGAUCAAAGCUGAAUGUACAAACUCCAAGGAUACAAGUUAAUGGCUACGGCUCUGUGGAACCAAUUCUGACAGUUUACCCUUACCAUGUAAUACAGUAUAUAUCUUUAAGCCACAUUUGAAUUUUCAAUGUGUCAGUGGAUCAAUAAAACAAUAUAAAACUUGAAA